This 12909-nucleotide long non-coding RNA is filed under the name Daucus carota (carrot). RNAcentral's name for it is "long non-coding RNA (DCAR_LNC002600)". The record is from RNAcentral. Lineage: Eukaryota; Viridiplantae; Streptophyta; Magnoliopsida; Apiales; Apiaceae.
AUUUAACACAGCUUCAAUAUCUUGAUUUGAGAAAUAAUUAUCUAGAUGGUCCCAUUCCGUUCCAGGUUAGCCAUCUUCAGAGCUUGCUCAUCUUAAACCUGUCACAGAAUGCAUUGCAAGCUCCAAAUUGGUCCCAUUUCUCUCCCAUGCCUUUCUUGCGCAUCCUCAACCUCAGUUACAAUCCUCUUGCGUCGAAAUUCCCAUAUUUUAUAUCCAAUUCUCAUAGCCUGACUCACCUUAGCCUUAAUUAUAACGAGUUUACUGGUGAUUUAGUACGUGAAUCAGUAUUUGCCAAUCUGCAUAAUCUUGAAGUCCUCAGUCUUGUUGGCAAUUCUUUUGAGGGGUCAUUUCCGCCAGAUAUAUUCAAGCUUUCCAAAUUAAAACGUCUUGCCCUGUCAAGUAACAAAUUUUCAGGUUCAAUUCCCAAUGACUUAAGGUUGCUUCAUGAUCUUGAAUCCCUGUAUUUAGGCAACAAUUCCUUUGAAGGACCGCUUCCACCAAAUAUAUUCAAGCUUUCAAAAUUAAAAAAUCUUGUUAUUUGGAGUAAUAAGUUUUCAGGUUCUGUUUCCAAUGAUAUAGGUUUGCUUUCUGAGCUUGAAACCCUCGAUCUUAACUCUAAUUUUUUUGAGGGGCCGCUUCCGCCAAAUGUAUUCAAGCUCUCCAAACUAAGGUUUCUUCACCUCUGGGGUAAUAACUUUUCAGGUUCUAUUUCCAAUAAUAUAGGUUUGCUUUCUGAGCUUGAAACCCUCGAUCUUAACUCUAAUUUUUUUGAGGGGCCGCUUCCGCCAAAUGUAUUCAAGCUCUCCAAACUAAAGUUUUUUGCCCUUCGUGAGAAUAACUUUUCAGGUUUUAUUUCUAAGGAUAUAGGUUUGCUUUCCCAACUUGAAAGCCUCUAUCUUGGCUCUAAUUUUUUUGAGGGGCCGCUUCCCCCACAUAUAUUUAGGCUCUCCAAAUUAAGAGAUCUGGACCUCUCAGACAAUAGAAAUUUAUUUGAAGGAAGUAUUCCUAUUGGACUGGGACUCUUGACUAAUUUCAGCUUCUUAGAUCUAAAUUCCAAUAAUCUCGGUGGCUAUAUUCCAUCUGACAUUGGAAACCUGAAGCUACUAGUAUAUCUUGAUCUCAGUUCUAAUCAAUUGACUGGACAGCUUUCAAAGAUCAUUUCUAAUCUCACAAAUCUUAUAAGUCUUGAUGUAAGUUAUAAUAGUUUUAGUGGAAAUAUUCAGAGUGACUUGUGGAACUUCCCUAAGGAAUAUAACAAUCAUCCAACUUUGGAAUACAUCGCUUUUAAGUGGGAACCAUUUUACAGGUAUAUUUUCUCUAUAUAUCUUUUCCUUUUCUCAUAUGUAACUAAGCUAGUAAUCUGAUUAUUGCUGUUUUACCAAAUUUUAACAAUCUUGACAGGUGAGCUUCCAACAACAAUUUGCAAUGUCACUUCCCUUUCAAUUCUUGAUUUGUCAAAUAAUGAAUUAAGUGGUGAACUUCCAAACUGUUUCGGGAAUCUUGCUGAUGGAUUGCUUUACAUUAAUCUUGCUAAUAAUCAGUUUCGAGGAACAAUACCAACUACUUUCUCCAGGAGUUGUCAGCUGACAUGCAUAUCUAAACAUGGAUAAUAAUGAGUUUGAAGGAUUGAUGCCCCCAUCUUUGGCGAACUGUAAGCACUUGAAAAUUCUUGAUAUAGGCAAUAAUAAAAUAGGUGGUACAUUUCCGUCAUGGCUUUAUGCACUUGGAGAGCUAGAAGUUCUUGUCUUGCGAUCAAAUAAACUCUAUGGUACAAUAAGUGGAAGGAGCACAGAAGAUCCCUUCCCCAAGUUGCGGAUUAUGGAUUUGUCCAACAAUCAAUUCACAGGCCAUUUGCCAAUUCAAUACUUUAAGAAUAUGAAAUCAACUGAUAAUUUGUAUCGUUUUCAGAAUGUGACAGCAGUUUUUACUAUCCAUUAUGAAGCAGCAGUCUCAUUAACUGUGAAGGGAACAGAGUAUGAAGUGACAAAUAACCUUCAUAUUUACACAGCUAUUGAUCUGUCGUGCAACAAAUUUCAGGGUGAAAUUCCAAAAGUUAUUGGAGAGCUUAGAUGGCUUGCAUUGCUCAACUUAUCGCAUAAUAGUCUGACAGGACAUAUCCCGUCAUUGCUGAGAAAUAUGAAAGAACUCCAAUCUUUAGAUUUGUCCUCAAAUCAACUGACAGGGGCUAUUCCACCUCAGUUAACUGCACUGACAUUUCUAGAAGUCUUAAACCUCUCGGGAAACCAUCUUAGUGGAGAGAUUCCUCAGAAAGGACAAUUCAGCACAUUCAACAAUGAUUCUUAUCUAGGAAACUCCGCAUUAUGUGGAUCACCAUUGAUGAAGAAAUGUGCAAACACAGCAUCACCUCCACAAGAAGUCGGAAAUGGUGAUGAAGAUGAUGCUGGAGAUGAAUUGACAUGGGAAGCAAUCGUGAUGGGAUAUGGAUGUGGACUGAUAUGUGGAUUGUCAUCUGCAUACAUUGUUCUCAAACUAGGAAAGCCUUGGUGGUUUGUGAGAUAUAUCGAAGUGCUGCAACUGAAGUUGAUGAAAAGAUAUGCAUGAAGAAUGGUACUGGCCAAUCAAGACCAACUUGAAAGUUGUUGGACAUUUCUGAACCAGUAGUGUACUAUUCUCUUUGUGGCUGCAUAAGUUUUUGGUAUUGGUGUAAUAUUUUGUUUGGUCUUGAAUCAUAAUGAUUUUUCUUUUUUCAGGGGUAUUAAUAUAAACCUUGGUAUUGUGUAAUAUUCUGUUUGAUCAAUGUUUAUAUCAGUAAUUAUAUGCUCCUCACUGCAUCAUGCAGCUCUCAUAAUAUUAUUAUUAUUAUUAUUAUUAUUAUUAUUAUUAUUAUUAUUAUUAUUAUUAUUAUUAUUAUUAUUAUUAUUAUUAUUAAUUGAUUACACACUCACACGUGGGGAGUCGACCUCCCGACCUCCAGCAAAGGGGUAAAAGAGCUCUCAUAUUAUCUUCAUAUGUGUAUUAUUUGGAUAUCAAAGUUGCAGGGACAUAUGGAUAUGUGUUAACAGGGACUGCUCGGUCUUGGACGGACUCUUUCCAAGUCCUCUGGGGUCCUAUCGAUUCAAAUUAGUCUAUUAUCUGCAUACUAGCUAAUUUGUCCAACUCGGGCUUCAAUAGUAAAGAUAAUAGGUGCGAGUUGAGUUUCUCAAAGUAUGAGUACAAUAUCGUUUUUUAAUGAUAGUUAGGGGGUGUGAUAUGCAAUUACCUCAAAAAUAUAUGAUCAUUAGUAUAUUAUAUUAGUAUCCACACACUUAUAUCUCAAAAUCUAUCCUCCAAAAUUAUCAUCUCUAUAGGCUAGCCACAUAAAAUAAAAAUUUAAAGAUAUUAGAUAUUUAGUUAUUUUCAUCAUAUAAUUUUUCCAUGCAAAAUAACAAAAUAUCUUUAUCAACUUAUUAUUUAUGAGUUAAAUAUUCAAGUUAUAUAAUUCGGGCAUGCUGGGUAUAAAUAGAAGUGUAACGCCUAAUUUCCGGGGUCUGGGAGUAGUUGGCGGGGUAUGAGAGAGCAGGCUAUUCAGAAGUCUUGGUCAUGAAAACUUCCAAGCUAACUUCGACAACGGAAUCUUCUGAGGCUACUAUUCUAAAGCACGCAUAAUCAUUGUAUUCAUAUUCCUCUCACACUGACAAAAAGUCUAUUUAAGCAAAUGAAAUACAAACAACUGAGUGGAAUGCUGACCGAAAAUCUUUUUGGCUGAGCUUAUGAGUUAUUAGUACAUGAUUAAUAUGAUAAGCUAAGCUGAGAGCAUAAGAUAUCGUUUGUAUAAUUUUGUGUUUAUUAAUGACUUAUAAAUUAUUAAAAAUAUAAUAAGAAAAAUAAAAAUGUUUUAUAACUAAUUUAUGUUUCAUGAGUAAUUUUUAUUAGAAAAAAGUUUUAAAAAAUUAUUUCACUGGAAAAAAACCUCCAACUAACUUUUGGCUCUAAAGUCAGUUUGUGACUUAUUUCUGACUUUAAAUCGGCUUCUCACUUUUACACAAACAAAAAUUUUUCAGCUUAAAGUUAAAAACAACUUUAAGCUCCGGUUUUAAACCUCGACAAACAUGCUCUGAGUUUGGUUUCACUUCAUUUACAAACCUCAACAAUUUCACCAUCAAACACAAUGACUUCUCCAAUCUCCGGUCAAGUACCACCAGCCAUUGAGAAUUUGGCACAACUUCAAUUCCAUACCAGGUUAGUCAUCUUCGGAGAUUACACGUCUUAGACCUGUCAAAUACAAAUUUCAAUCUCCAAACUGGUCCGACUUAUCUUCUAUGCUUUUUGUUGAGUCCGGCUCAUCUAAAGCCUUAAGAUGUUAGAAGAAGCCCCCAAUGAAUCUUAUAUAUGCUAUAUUUUAACAAUUCUGAGCACACUCAACCUUGGUAUUAAUAAUAUUGUGUCGAAAAUUCCAGAAUUUAUAUCUAAUUCUCAUAGCCUAACUUUCCUUGACCUUUCCAUAUAACAAAUUUACAGUUAAUCCUGUGCUUGAAUCAGUAUUUGCAACCAAAAUUAUGCAAUUAUAGUGCAGGUAGUCUUCCAGUUCUUCCUACUCUAUGCUAUAAUUUCAUUUGAUACCAAUAAUUUUACGCUCUACACUCCAGGAUGAGCUCGCAUAUUAUUGACAGCUAUAAUCCUUCCAACAAUUUGCGAUGCAAAGCAGGGGGGCGCCUGUAUUUUCAUAUGUCUAUAUUAUUGGAGAUUAAAGUUGUAUGGACAAUUGUGUUGAUAAUUUGCCCAAUGUUAACAGGGAUAGGUUGGCUUAAUUUGCCCAAUGUUAACAGGGAUAGGUUGGCUUAAUUUGCCCAAUGUUAACAGGGAGAUUAAAUGGCUUGCAUUGCUCAACGUAUAUCUCAUAAUAGUCUUACCGGACAUAUGUUAUGCAUUAUUAUUAUGCUUUCAUCACUAUUUUCAAACAUUUCUCAAUAUAUAUUUUCAAAGAAUUCUCAAGCACUUGAACAUUUGGACCGGUUCUUUCGAAGCCAAGAUGCCCAGGGUAUCAUGGCCAUGCACAAAAAUGAAUAAAUUAAGAGAGAUUGCUCAGGGUCUCCCCAAGCCUUUCAGGACUCAUUCCAAGUCUUCGAGGACCACUGCCUCACUCUUUCAAAGAUGUGAUAGUAGCUCGAGAGCGAUAUAAAUGAUUUUCCUGACACUAAAAAUAAAAAAAUCAGAUCAAAUUAAUCAAUAAUAAAUUAAAGAUGCAAUCCAAAUUAAUCCUAAAUUUUGAUGAUAUAUAAAAAUUAUAAUUAUAAAUUAUAUAACCAAAUCAGAAUUGAAUUAACUUACUUGGUACUAAAAUUGAUAAAAACAGUAUAAUAAUUUAAUUGAUGAAAAUUCAAAGUCUUCUAAUAAAUCCAUAAAAAAUUUGAUAAUCAAAAUAACGAAAAUUAUAAUUGAAAAAUCAAAAUCAAUAGUGUAUUGGAAUAUUGUUCACACACUUAUAUAUCAAAAUUUGUGGUCCAAAAACUAUAGCACAAUAUCCUAAAUACACCACAUUAAAUAAUAGUUCAAAAAUAUUCAAUAGAUAAUUGAUUUCAUUCAUAAUUUUGUUAUUUUAAAAACUAAUAAUUUGGUUGAUGUUAACCUAUAUUUUAAUAUAUAAUUAUAUUAUUUUCAUCUUAUUUUAUUUAACCAGAAACAAUAUUUUUAUAAUAUUUAUUACAUUAUUUAUAUUAAAAAAUAUAAUUUCAUUAAAAAAAUUGAAUAAAAUUAAGAGGAUAACUCUAUGCCUCUCCAAGUCUACAAGACUCAUUUCAAGUCUACCUCGGACCACUACCUCAACCAUUCAGAGAUGUGAAAGUAGUUUGAGAGUGACAUAAAUUAUUUUCGUGACAAUAAAAUUUAAUAUCUAAUAUAAAUUAAUUAAAUUAGAUAAUAAUAAAUCAAAACUAAUUAUGAAUUAUGAUAAUAAUUAAAUAAAUUAUAAUUAAAUUAUAUAAAUCAACUCCAAAUGAUACAAAUAACACUAAACCUUGGUUACUUUGUUGGUAAAUAAAUAUAAUAUAAUAAUCAAAUUGAUGAGAAAUGAAAAUCAUCUAAUAAAUUCACAAAAAAUAUAUGAUCAUUAGUAUAUUAUAUUAGUAUCCACACACUUAUAUUUCAAAAUCUAUCCUCCAAACUUAUCAUCUCCGUAAACUAGCCACAUAAAAUAUAAAUUUAAAGAUAUUAGAUAUUUAGUUAUUUUCAUUAUAUAAUUUUUCCACACUAAACAACAAAAUAUUUUUAUCAAAAUUAUUAUUUAUGAGUUAAAUAUUCAAGUUAUAAUUCCAGCAUGCAGCGUAUAAAUAGAAGUGUGCAGUAUGAUAUCAGAUUCAUAACCCAGUUGAUCAGAAGAAACAUGGCCUACUCUGCAAAGCCUUCUCACCUUCUUCUCUUUGUUUUCUUUCUCUCAUCACUUGAAUCCAUUCUUGCAACAACACGAGAGGGAGAAGCUCUUGUGAAGUGGAAGAAUAGCCUAGCCCCUUCUUCUUUUCUCGACUCUUGGUCACUCACCAAUCUCGAAAAUCUUUGUAACUGGACUGGCAUUACUUGUAACUCUGCAGGUUCAGUCUCUGAGAUUAACCUUUUUGAGAAACAACUUAAUGGAAUGCUGUCCGAGUUCGGUUUCACUUCAUUUCCAAAUCUCAACAAUCUCACCCUCGCAUACAACUUCUUCUCGGGUCCAAUACCACCAGCCAUUGAGAAUUUAACACAGCUUCAAUAUCUUGAUUUAAGCAUGAAUAGUCUUAAUGGUCCCAUUCCGUUCCAGGUUAGCCAUCUUCAGAGUUUGCUCAUAUUAAACCUGUCACAGAAUGCAUUGCAAGCUCCAAAUUGGUCCCAUUUCUCUCCCAUGCCUGUUUUGCGCUUCCUCAAGCUCAGUAGAAAUCCUCUUGUGUCGAAAUUCCCAAAUUUUAUAUCCAAUUCUCAUAGCCUGACUUAUCUCAACCUUUCACAUAACAAGUUUAGUGGUGAUCUUGUACGUGAAUCAGUAUUUACCAAUCUGCAUCAUCUUGAAGUCCUCAGUCUUGUUGGCAACUCUUUUGAGGGGUCAUUUCCGCCAGAUAUAUUCAAGCUUUCCAAAUUAACACGUCUUGCCCUGUCAAGUAACAAAUUUUCAGGUUCAGUUCCCAACGACAUAAGGUUGCUUUGUGGUCUUGAAUACCUAUAUUUAGCUGACAAUUCCUUUGAAGGACCGCUUCCACCAGAUAUAUUCAAGCUUUCAAGAUUAAAACAUCUUGUUCUUUGGAGUAAUAAGUUUUCAGGUUCUGUUUCCAAUGAUAUAGGUUUGCUUUCUGAGCUUGAAGCCCUCAAUCUUGACUCUAAUUUUUUUGAGGGGCCGCUUCCCCUAAAUUUAUUCAAGCUCUCCAAACUAAAAUUUCUCACCCUGACAAGUAACAAAUUUUUAGGUUCAAUUCCCAAUGACAUAAGGUUACUUUGUGAUCUUGAAUACCUAUAUUUAGGCAACAAUUCCUUUGAAGGACCGCUUCCACCAAAUAUAUUCAAACUUUCAAAAUUAAAAGAUCUUGUUCUUUGGGGUAAUAAGUUUUCGGGUUCUGUUUCCAAUGAUAUAGGUUUGCUUUAUGAGCUUGAAACCCUCGAUCUUAACUCUAAUUUUUUUGAGGGGCCGCUUCCGCCAAAUUUAUUCAAGCUCUCCAAACUAAAGAUUCUUUCCCUUUAUAAGAAUAACUUUUCAGGUUUUAUUUCUAAGGAUAUAGGUUUGCUUUUCGAACUUGAAAGCCUCUAUCUUGGCUCUAAUUUUUUUGAGGGGCUGCUUCCCCCACAUGUAUUUAGGCUCUCCAAAUUAAGAGAUCUGGGUCUCUCAGACAAUAGAAAUUUAUUUGAAGGAAGUAUUCCUAUUGGACUGGGACUCUUGACUAACCUCAGGUACUUAGAUCUACAUUCCAAUAAUCUCGGUGGCUAUAUUCCAUCUGACAUUGGAAACCUGAAGCUACUAGUACUUCUUGAUCUCAAUUCUAACCAAUUGACUGGACCGCUUUUAAAGAUCGUUUCUAAUCUCACAAAUCUUAUGUUUCUUGAUGUAAGUGAUAAUAGUCUUAGUGGAAAUAUUCAGAGAGACUUGUGGAACUAUAACGAUCAUCCAACUUUGGAAUUCAUCAAUUUAAGUGGGAACCAUUUUACGGGUAUAGUUUUUCUCUAUAGAUCUUUCCUUUUGUCAUAUGUAACUAAGCUAGUAAUCUGAUUAAUUGCAGUUUUACCAAAGUUUCAACAAUCUUGACAGGUGAGCUUCCAACAACAAUUUGCAAUGUCACUUCCCUUUCGGUUCUUGAUUUGUCAAAUAAUGCAUUAAGUGGUGCACUUCCAAACUGUUUCGGGAAUCUUGCUGAUGGAUUGCUUUACAUUAAUCUUGCUAAUAAUCAGUUUCGAGGAACAAUACCAACUACUUUCUCCAGGAGUUGUCAGCUGACAUAUCUGAACAUGGAUGAUAAUCAGUUUGAAGGAUUGUUACCCCCAUCUUUAGCGAACUGUAAGCACUUGAGAAUCCUUGAUAUGGGCAACAAUAAAAUAGGUGAUACAUUUCCGUCAUGGCUUUAUGUACUUGGAGCGCUAGAAGUCCUUGUCUUGCGAUCAAAUAAACUCUAUGGUACAAUAAGGGCAAGGAGCAUAGAAGAUCCCUUCCCCAAGUUGCGGAUUGUGGAUCUGUCCAACAAUCAAUUCAUGGGCCAUUUGCCAAUUCAAUACUUUAAGAAUAUGAAAUCAAAUGAUAAUUUGUAUCGUUAUCUGAAUUCCACAGGAGAAAUAGAUAUCUCUUAUGAAGCAGCAGUCUCAUUAACUGUGAAGGGAACAGAGUAUGAAGUAGCAAAUAACCUUCAUAUUUACACAGCCAUUGAUCUGUCGUGCAACAAAUUUCAGGGAGAAAUUCCAAAGGUUGCCGGAGAGCUUAGAUGGCUUGCAUUGCUCAAUUUAUCUCAUAAUAGUCUAACAGGACCUAUCCCAUCAUUGCUGAGAAAUAUGAAAGAACUCCAAUCUUUAGAUUUGUCCUCAAAUCAACUGACAGGGGCUAUUCCACCUCAGUUAACUGCAUUGACAUUUCUAGAGGUCUUAAAUCUCUCGAACAACGAUCUCAGUGGAGAGAUUCCUCAGAAAGGACAGUUCAGCACAUUCAACAAUGAUUCUUAUCUAGGAAACUCCGCGUUAUGUGGAUCACCAUUGACGAAGAAAUGCGCAAACACAGCAUCACCUCCACAAGAAGUCAGAAAUGGUGAUGAAGAUGAUGCUGGUGAUGAAUGGACAUGGGAAGCAAUCGUGAUGGGAUAUGGAUGUGGACUGAUAUGUGGAUUGUCAUCUGCGUACAUUGUUCUCAAACUAGGAAGGCCUUGGUGGUUUGUGAGAUAUGUCGAAGUAUUGCAACUGAAGUUGAUGAAAAGAUAUGCUUGAAGAAUGGUAUUUGGUCUUGUACUAGCUGCAUAAGUAUUUGGCAUUGUGUAGUAUUCUGUUUGGUCUUGAAUUAUAAUGAUUUUUCUUGCUUCAGGGGUAUUAAUAUAAACCUUGCUAUCUUGCUCAGUGUUAAUGCAAAUUAAGAUGAAUGAAUAAACAAAAAAUAUGCAUCAAAUUAAGAAUUCAGAAAUGGUGAUACUCAUGCAGUGUCACCAACUCAAGAAUUCAGAAAUGGUGAUACUCAUGAAGAUGACGAUGCUGAUGAUGAACUUUGAUGUGGGACUUGGGUUGACCACUUGUUGGGCCGCACAACACCUGUUAAGCAUUAGUAUGACGUUGUCCGCUCUGGAUCGUGACCAAGCCCGCACGGAUUUGUUUUCGAGCUCCUCUCAAAAGGUCUAAAACUAAUGGAGUUGUUUGGCUGCUUAUAUUCAAGAUAAAUCUUUUUGAUGUGGGAUUUGGGUUGACACCCACACAACAAGACGUGAGGAAAUAUUGUUGUCUUGAGAUGACAUAUGUUCUGAAUUAUUAUUAUGCUUUCAACAAUAUUUUCAAACAUUUUUCAAUAUGUAUUUUUAAAGAAUUCUCAAGCACUCGUGACCCCUAUAAUUUUUUCUCAGGCAACGCCUAUAGUUUCAAAGAAUUCCCAGGCACUUAAACAUUUGGACCGGUUCUUUGGAAGCCAAGAUGCCCAGGUUAUCAUGGCCAUGCACAAAAUGCAGUACCAAAGAAAAAAAAUAAUAAAUUAAGAGAGAUUGCUCUGGGUCACCCCAAGCCUUCGAGGACUCAUUCCAAGCCUCGCCCUUUCAAAGAAGUGAUAGUAGCCGGAAAGUGAUAUAAAUUAUUCUCCGGACACUAAAACUAAAUAAUCAGAUCAAAUUAAUCAAUAAUAAAUUAAAGAUAUGAAAUCAAAAUUAAUCCUAAAUUUUGAUAAUAUACAAAAAUUAUAAUUAUAAAUUUUAUUAUCAAAUCAAGAUUAAAUUAACUUACAUGGCCGUUAAAAUUGAUAAACGCAAUAUAAUAGGGUUAAAAAUGGGGCGGGUUCGGGACGGGUACUUCAUUUCCCAGCCUCGUCCCAUAUAUAUUUUUCCUGCCCCGUCUCCGCCCCAUUCUCCACGAAGAUUUAUUUUUAAUCCCCAUUGCCGCCCGCCCCACCGGGGAUUGAAUAUAAUUUCGCCCCGCCCCGCUGCUAUAAUAUUACACUUUAAUUAAUUACCUUAAAAUUUAAUAAUCAGAAUUUAAUAAAAAUAUACGAGACAUGUAUAUUAAAAGCAAAAAACUAAAUAUAAUAGAAAUCAAAGAGACAUGUUAUACAUUGUAAAAUUAUAGUUUUAUGUAUUAUAUAAUAGAUAAUAUUAAAUAUAUUAUAUUAAAUAUAAUUAUUUAUUUUUAUUAAAUAUAUGCGGGGCGGGGUGGGGAAUCCCCGCGGGAAUUCAACAAAUACCAUGCUUGCCCCAUAUUUUAGCGGGGCAGAUAAUCAUUCUCCGUCACUACCCCAUUCCCCAUAGAGUAGUGCUAGAUGCACAAAAUUGGAUACAUAAUUUUACACAAAAUGACAUGGCAAUCUAGGUGGAGAGCUUUAAUUGGUAUUAUUAAUGCAUGUGCAGGGGCUCAUUCCAAUCACAAAUUGACACAUACUCAUUCUGUGAAUAUUUCUGUACUCAAUUCUGUGCAGGUAGCAUUUUUCUUCCCCAUAUUAGCGGGGCGCAUCGGCUCCAUUCGGGGCGGGUUCCCCAUUUUCCCCACCCAAUUUUUAACCCUACAAUAGUAAUCAAAUUGAUGAAAAGUCAAAGUCCUCUAAUAAAUCCAUAAAGAAUAUGAUAAUCAAAACUACAAAAAUUAUAAUUGAAAAAUCAAAAUCAUCCUAAUAAGUUCAUAGAAUAUAUAUGAUCAGUAGAGCAUUAGAAUAGUGUUCACACACUUAUAUGUCAAAAUUUGUGGUCCAAAGACUAUGACACAAUAUCCUAAAUACACCCCCAUUGAAUAGUAGUUCAAAAUAUUUAAUAUAUAAUUGUUUUCAUUCAUAAUUUUGUUAUUAUUUAAAAAAUAAUAAUUUAAUUGCUGUUAACCUUUAUUUUAAUAUAUAAUCAUAUCGUUUCCUUACAAUUUAAUUAUCUAGAAACAAUAUUUUUGUUAUAAUCAUUACAUUAAUUAUAUUAAAAAAUAUAAUUUUGUUAAAACAUUGAAUGAAAUUAAGAGUAUUAAUCUACGUCUCUCCAAGUCUACAGGACUCAUUCCAAGUCUGCGUGAGACCACUGCCACCACCUUUGAGAGAUGUGGAAGUGGAAGUAGCUUCAGAUUGACCUAAAUUAUUUCCUGACAAUAAAUUUAAUAUCCGAAAUAAAUUAAAUUAAACUAGUUUUUUGAAACAAUUAAAUUAAACUAGUUAAUAAUAAAUUAAGAAUAUAUAAAAUCAAAACUAAUCAUGAAUUAUGAUAAUAAUUAAAUAAAUUAUAAUUAAGCUAUAUAAAUCAACUCCAAAUGACACCAACAGCACCAAACCUUAGUUACUUUAAUAUUGGUAAAUAAAUAUAAUAUAAUAAUCAAUUGAUGAAAAAUCAAAUCAUCUAAUAAAUUCACAAAAAAUAUAUGAUCAUUAGUAUAUUAUAUUAGUAUCCACACACUUAUAUUUCAAAAUCUAUCCUCCAAAAUUAUCAUCUCGAUAAACUAGCCACAUAAAAUAAAAAUUUAAAGAUAUUAGAUAUUUAGUUAUUUUCAUUAUAUAAUUUUUCCACACUAAAUAACAAAAUAUUUUUAUCAAAUUAUUAUUUAUGAGUUAAAUAUUCAAGUUAUAAAUCCAGCAUGCAGCGUAUAAAUAGAAGUGUGCAGUAUGAUAUCAGAAUCAUAACCCAGUUGAUCAGGAGAAACAUGGCAUACUCUGCAAAGCCUUCUCACCUUCUUCUCUUUGUUUUCUUUCUCUCAUCACUUGAAUCCAUUCUAACAACACGAGAGGGAGAAGCUCUUGUGAAGUGGAAGAAUAGCCUAGCCCCGUCUUCUUUUCUCGACUCUUGGUCACUCACCAAUCUCGAUAAUCUUUGUAACUGGACUGGCAUUACUUGUAACUCUGCAGGUUCAGUUUCUGAGAUUAACCUCUGUGAGAAACAACUUGAUGGAAUGCUGUCCGAGUUCGGUUUCACUUCAUUUCCAAAUCUCAAGAAUCUCACCCUGGCAGACAACUUCUUCUCGGGUCCAAUACCACCAGCCAUUGAGAAUUUAACACAGCUUCAAUAUCUUGAUUUAAGCAUGAAUAGUCUUAAUGGUCCCAUUCCGUUCCAGGUUAGCCAUCUUCAGAGUUUGCUCAUAUUAAACCUGUCACAGAAUGCAUUGCAAGCUCCAAAUUGGUCCCAUUUCUCUCCCAUGCCUGUUUUGCGCUUCCUCAAGCUCAGUAGAAAUCCUCUUGUGUCGAAAUUCCCAAAUUUUAUAUCCAAUUCUCAUAGCCUGACUUAUCUCAACCUUUCACAUAACAAGUUUAGUGGUGAUCUUGUACGUGAAUCAGUAUUUAUACCAAUCUGCAUCAUCUUGAAGUCCUCAGUUUUUCACCGAAGAGUUGUG